UGGACCAAUGAUGACAAUGGUAAGAAUCAAAAAUGAUGAUUAAUCCAAAUUCCUGCACUUGAUAUCAUA
Molecule: small nucleolar RNA, 69 nt
Organism: Choloepus hoffmanni (Hoffmann's two-fingered sloth)
Lineage: Eukaryota; Metazoa; Chordata; Mammalia; Pilosa; Megalonychidae
Source: Ensembl